RNAcentral lists this small RNA (758 nucleotides) under Pan troglodytes (chimpanzee). RNAcentral's name for it is "processed transcript". The record is from RNAcentral. Lineage: Eukaryota; Metazoa; Chordata; Mammalia; Primates; Hominidae.
GGAAAUGAGACCCGUAUCUGAAGGAAACAGAUGUUCGGUACACGGACGACGCCGACUCUCCCAUCACCAAGCUGCCCUCGGUUGCCCAGGAGAGCCACAGUGCCUUGAGAACAUAAGCAGUUUAGUGAACAGAGUUCUUUUCAAAAUUUCCUUUUUCUUAAGGAUCUUGCUCUGGGGAAAGCCAGCUGCAGUGUUGUGCGGGCUGCCUGAGGAAAGGUGCCCUCCGGAAAGAAAUGAUAUCUCCGCCCAACAGCAUGGUGGACCUGAGUCCUGCUACCAGCCACAUGAGUGCGCUUGGAAGCAGGUGGAGCCCAGUUGAGCCUUGAGGUGCCUCCCUCUGUGAGAGACCCCAAGCCAGAGACAUCCGGCCAAGAGGCACCCAGAUUCCUGCCCCACAGAAACUGACAUAAUAACGUUGUUUAAAGCCACUACAUUUGGAGCUCCUCGACAAUGUUCGAGGUGCGAGAUGCUAUAGUUCCCAUCACAUCCAAGGGAAUGGGCACAGACUGGGAAAGUGACUUGCCCAGGGUCACACCAGGAGUAAGAGGAGACGCUGGCAUGUCACACCCAGGCUAGCUGGUUCCAGAGAUCCUGCUUUUAAUUACUGCACUGCAGUAUCUAAGACCUCAGCAGGAUGAAUAGCCUUGGAAGAUAGAGAUCGUGUCUCCCUCCAGAGCAAAGGGCAGAUUAGCUUCAAUGAUGACAGAAGAUCCCGGUUCCCGGGCUCAGAGCUCCGCUGCUGUAACUUCAGCAUGCCU